UUUCACAAAAAAGUUCUACUUGGAAACUAAAGAAAGGAAAAGAAAAAGAAAAGAAUCAGGGGAGGAAGAGGAGAGAAGGAAGAUGUUGUCUCCCCCAGGGAAGGAACUGCCAGACUCUUUUCCAAAUUGGCUGUCCCAUUUCACGUUCCCACGAGCAUCACCCCCCUCUUUUUAUAGAUACUCAUAUUAUAAAAAAAUGAUGGGAUUCCAUAAAGAGCUGUUAAAGAAGAACUAAGAGUAAAAACCGAACUCGAG
RNAcentral lists this long non-coding RNA (255 nucleotides) under Mustela putorius furo (domestic ferret). Its description in RNAcentral is "lncRNA (ENSMPUG00000028445.1)". The record is from RNAcentral. Lineage: Eukaryota; Metazoa; Chordata; Mammalia; Carnivora; Mustelidae.